AUGUGGCGGGGCGAUACACAUGCAAGUCGAGCGAGGGCUCAUUUCCCGCAAGGGAGAUGGGUUCCUAGCGGCCCCUUUUUGAGUAACACGUGGGCAACCUUUCCUAUCGCGGGGGACCUUUGCGGGAAACCGCUGCUAAUACCGCAUGUAGUCACCGGUCGCAUGGCCGGUGAAAAAAGCAGCAAUGCACGAUGGGGUGGGCCCGCGGCCUAUCAGCUAGUCGGUGGGGUCACGGCCCACCGAGGCGAUGACGGGUAGCUGGUCUGAGAGGACGACCAGCCACACGGGGACUGAGACACGGCCCCGACUCCUACGGGAGGCAGCAGUGAGGAAUCUUCCGCAAUGGGCGAAAGCCUGACGGAGCGACACCGCGUGUGGGAUGAAGUCCUUCGGGAUGUAAACCACUGUUGGAGGGGAAGACAACUGACGGUACCCUCCGAGAAAGCCCCGGCUAACUACGUGCCAGCAGCCGCGGUAAUA
Molecule: ribosomal RNA, 480 nt
Filed under: uncultured bacterium
Lineage: Bacteria
Description: bacterial SSU rRNA
Rfam family: Bacterial small subunit ribosomal RNA
Source: RNAcentral